RNAcentral lists this transfer RNA (77 nucleotides) under Nitratireductor sp. Its description in RNAcentral is "tRNA-Met". It matches the Rfam family "tRNA". Rfam says of the family: Transfer RNA (tRNA) molecules are approximately 80 nucleotides in length. The record is from RNAcentral. Lineage: Bacteria; Pseudomonadati; Pseudomonadota; Alphaproteobacteria; Hyphomicrobiales; Phyllobacteriaceae. RNAcentral also lists the same sequence under 1 other name.
GGCAGAGUAGCUCAGUUGGUGAGAGCGCCGGAUUCAUAACCCGGAGGUCGGCGGUUCAAAUCCGCCCUCUGCUACCA